Homo sapiens (human) is the source of this 2610-nucleotide long non-coding RNA. RefSeq lists it as uncharacterized. The record is from RefSeq and is a predicted model, not a curated record. The transcript is spliced from 2 exons. Lineage: Eukaryota; Metazoa; Chordata; Mammalia; Primates; Hominidae.
ACUCCCUAUGUCUGCAGCAAAGAUUGGGAGAUUUACAAUGGCAUGGGGUGGAAGGUAGGGGCUGAAGGGAUCACGAGCCACAAAAAACACAGUCAAGCCACGAAUUCAUAAUAGUAAGGAUUCAUAAUAGCUAAGCAUGGGACUCUGCUAGGUAGCUGCUAAAAUGUCAUUCUGCUGAAAUGGGACAAAAGACCUUCAGAUGCCUGGAGGACACCAGCACACCCUUGGAAACUCCUCUUCCCUCUGUCUUUGCCAUGCUCUGUAUUCUGAAGGAUUCAUAUUCAGAACAAUUACUUAGUUUGGGUUGGAUGUGGUGGAGCGGUUUGAGAUGAAAACCCAGGAAAGAAAGCCGUAAAAGUGGCUGAACAGGGAGAAUAAGCUUUAAGCAAAUAAAGCAUUUGUAACACUUUCCCAUUUCAUCAGGGCCUAGUGAUGUCAUAUGUUUGUUGUUGUUGCUGAUGCUACAGUAACACAAUUCCAAGUUAAUGUUGGGGUUCUUGCUUCUGACAGUUUUGGCUGUAGCACAUUUUUUUGUUUGCAUUUGAAUACACCAUAUGUAUAGGGGAAUGUUUUGUUUUUUAUCAUUUCAAAAUGGAAUUAAUCCUCUUAUAACAUUUAUUUAAAUGAUAAAUCAAGUGGUAAAUAUAGUUUGCUUGCAGUGAACAUUUGGAACAUAUGAUGAAAAAUAGCUAUAGCCAACGCAAGAGCAGUUUUCAUUGAACAGUUGUUCAAUCUCAGUUUUUAAUAAAUCUGAUAAUAUAAUAUCUGUGCAUGUUAGGAUUGCAGAGAGUGAAGCCAAAAUAAAUAUGUGCACACAUAGCCUAUUCCUCCCUUUCUUUCCAUUUCUGUUCUCUUUCCUCUUUGCUUUUGAAAUUUUUAUUUAGUCCUGAGUGGGGAUGGGGUGGAGAGAAAGUGGACAGUGGGUGGUGGGAGAUACAGGGAGAAAGAAUGAGAAUUGCUCUUGUUCUCAAGGGUACCGCAUCACGUUUUCCUCUGGCUGGCAGUCUUUAACACCAGCGUAUCCUAUGAGACCUGACUUCACUCAUCAGCUGCAUCAGCUCAGUGUCAUUACCACAUGUAGACAGCAAUGUAAUCCUCCUUCUUAGAGAUGCUGCAGCAGAUUGGAGGGUGAAGAGAUGUAUCAGUCAGAUCAGAGUAACCAGCUGGCUCCUGGCUCCUGAUCAUUGUCACAGCUCAGUAGCUGGAAGCUCCUUCCAUAUGGCUGAUGCCUUUAAAAAAAUCUCCUCAAUCUCCAUCCCCAUCUGCAAUACUGUUUAGUUAUUCAAUCAUUUAAGUCAUUCAUGUAUUGAAAAGAGGAUGGGGAUAUGAUCCCUCUGCUCUGUGGCAGUAGAUCUACUAAUGGGAGAGUCCUGGCCGCACAUCUGGCCUGGGUCUGGAGGUGCCCUACGGAAUUGAAAGCUGGCUGGAACUGUCAUCUUAACAUGUCCUGGUCAUCUUAACGUGUCCACCUCUCUGGCAAGCCUCUUUUCAAGUCUUUUUGUUACCAUCUUCAGCUUUUUCCCUCCAUACUAGAUUCUUAAUGAAUUGCUGCCAACAAGAGAAAGCUUUAUACAUGAAGAGAAUGGCAAUAAGAACUAACUCGUCUUUUUAAUUUUAAAACUGGUAUAUAUUCCUAUAUAAUAGGAAUGGAAGAUACUUGCAAAGCCUAUUUGUUCCUCUACAGAAGAGUUAAAAAUUACCUGGGCUAAUGGAAAGAAGGGAGAGUCAGCCAAUUAGAUGCUCCUGAAUGCCCUGAAUUGUGACUUACCUCUUCUUAUCCACAUCCUGAUCAAGGAAAGGGAUGAGAGAGAGGUGGAGAGAGAAGAAAUGGAAAUUCAAAAGUUUUGACGGCAGAGGAAAAUUGUGCUUAUUUCCAGAAUGAGACGAACAAGGUCCUGGGUCCCUACAUGUCAUACUGGCUAGAGACUGGGAAACAGAUUAACUGAGAGAAGCCAUCAAGCCUGAAGAGACAUCGUGUUUGAAAUGUGUAAGGCACAGUGUACCCGCCGUGGAUCAAAACAACCUGAAGGACAGACAGACAGACACACCGAGGAUCAGCAGAUAUCAGUGGGGACAGGUGCUGAUGAUGGUGCAAAUGAGAGUCAUGAAGGAAAGUUAAAUGAUGACCAAAGACCAAGUACCUUCCCCACAAUGCUUUGACAAGCGCUUUUAUAAGCACCCUGGAAUUUAGACACUACCCGGGGAGAAAAGGAAAGGGAGACAAGCAUGAAUUGUCUGAGAAACCCCUGAAUUAAUCAUGUGUACCCCAAUGCAACAAGGAUCUAGAUAUAGAAUAAUUUUAAUUAUAGAAAACAAAAUUAUAUUUUACCCACCCAUAUUUGAUGCCCAUGAAUUUCACAUCUACCUUACGUGCACAUAAAAUUCAAGCUUAGAUAGACGGAAAACAAAAAAUCAAGAAGCAAUAUUUGCCUUCUAAUAACUUAUCUAUUGGAGGAGGUAAAAGAUAGAAAAGUAGUUCAGAUGACAAAUACUAAAAGAGUUAGGAACUUCUGCUUCCACUUACGAUGAAGGAACUUGUACUCAAUCCAUCCACUUUGUAAUUCUCCUUGAGCUGCUGUAAUAAAGUACCACAAACUGGGUGACUUAAAA